GCGGAUCAAAUGGAUAUUCAACUUAAGGUUUAGGUAAUAGAAGAUAUUCAAUAGGCAGAAAUUUAGAACUUUGGUACUAUGAAAUAGAAUAUGCAACAUUUCAUAGCUGUCUUCUCAUAAUGUUGGCAGUCAAAUAAAACCUUGAGCCUCUGAGAGGAAGAUUCCAGUAAGCAUCACCUGUAAUCCAUUUUCAUGUGCCCUUUGCUCGAUUUCUAGUACGGCCAUAACAUCGUCAUUUGAAGGUCCUUCCUCUUGAAGAUGUAAUAUUUCGUCCAAAGCAAGAUCAACCAUGUCAAAAUUUUGUGAUGUUAGGCUUUGUAACCUUCUCCUGUAACAUGCGGAUCAAAAUUUGCAAACAUUUGUCAAAAAUUUGUGAUGUUAAGCUUUGUAACCUUUUCCUGUAACAUGCAGAUCACAAUUUGCAAACAUACCAGUGUCGAUGAAAUGUCUGGAUCACAGGAGAAAUUUAUACUAAUAUCUCCACGGAUAUUGCCAAGUCUGGAAGGCUUAUUGCCGCCAAGAAAGACGGAAACUCCAGCAGAAUAAAUCUAAGGCACAAAA
Molecule: long non-coding RNA, 561 nt
Filed under: Nicotiana benthamiana
Lineage: Eukaryota; Viridiplantae; Streptophyta; Magnoliopsida; Solanales; Solanaceae
Description: long non-coding RNA (NBEN_LNC034127)
Source: RNAcentral